Molecule: non-coding RNA, 218 nt
Organism: Arachis ipaensis
Lineage: Eukaryota; Viridiplantae; Streptophyta; Magnoliopsida; Fabales; Fabaceae
Source: RefSeq, a predicted model, not a curated record
UUUUUUCAGAUGUUUGUAGGGGUUGCUGCAUCACGUGUUAAGGGUCUUUUUGCUAGUGCAAGAUCAUUUUCACCUUCUAUCAUAUUUAUUGAUUAGAUAGAUGUUGUUGGUAGCAAGCGUGGAGGACCUGACAUAGGUGGAGGAGGUGCUGAACGAGAACAAGGCUUACUUUAGAUACUUACUGAGUUGGAUGGAUUCAAAGUUUCUACAGCACAUGU